RNAcentral lists this unclassified non-coding RNA (255 nucleotides) under fungal sp. RNAcentral describes it as "partial internal transcribed spacer region". The stretch from base 1 to 46 matches the Rfam family "Eukaryotic small subunit ribosomal RNA", at positions 1786 to 1831 of the family's 1831-position model. Lineage: Eukaryota; Fungi. The record is from RNAcentral.
AAGUCGUAACAAGGUUUCCGUAGGUGAACCUGCGGAAGGAUCAUUAUCAAAUGCUUUUUAAAAGCAUCCCACCUUUUGUGCACUGUAUCCAUAUGUCCUUUUGGCGCGGCGUUUGACUUGAAAGCAAUUUCAAAAAUUUUGCCCGCCAAGGGAUUAUUUUACAAACGAUAUUUUUAUAGUCUGAUUACUAUUAUUUCGUAAGAAAUAAAAGCUUAUAAUUAACAACAACUCUUAACAAUGGAUCUCUUGGCUCUU